RNAcentral lists this ribosomal RNA (604 nucleotides) under Aspergillus terreus. Its description in RNAcentral is "eukaryotic LSU rRNA". It matches the Rfam family "Eukaryotic large subunit ribosomal RNA", at positions 30 to 649 of the family's 3401-position model. The record is from RNAcentral. Lineage: Eukaryota; Fungi; Ascomycota; Eurotiomycetes; Eurotiales; Aspergillaceae.
GAACUUAAGCAUAUCAAUAAGCGGAGGAAAAGAAACCAACCGGGAUUGCCUCAGUAACGGCGAGUGAAGCGGCAAGAGCUCAAAUUUGAAAGCUGGCUCCUUCGGGGUCCGCAUUGUAAUUUGCAGAGGAUGCUUCGGGUGCAGCCCCCGUCUAAGUGCCCUGGAACGGGCCGUCAUAGAGGGUGAGAAUCCCGUAUGGGGCGGGGUGUCUGCGUCCGUGUGAAGCUCCUUCGACGAGUCGAGUUGUUUGGGAAUGCAGCUCUAAAUGGGUGGUAAAUUUCAUCUAAAGCUAAAUACUGGCCGGAGACCGAUAGCGCACAAGUAGAGUGAUCGAAAGAUGAAAAGCACUUUGAAAAGAGAGUUAAACAGCACGUGAAAUUGUUGAAAGGGAAGCGCUUGCAACCAGACUCGCUCGCGGGGUUCAGCCGGGCUUCGGCCCGGUGUACUUCCCCGCGGGCGGGCCAGCGUCGGUUUGGGCGGCCGGUCAAAGGCCUCCGGAAUGUAGCGCCCUUCGGGGCGCCUUAUAGCCGGGGGUGCAAUGCGGCCAGCCUGGACCGAGGAACGCGCUUCGGCACGGACGCUGGCAUAAUGGUUGUAAACGACC